UCAACCGUGGUUUUAAUCUCUGUCAUCAAUAUGGUCCCUGAGAACUUCCAGGAGUGAUCUUCAAAGUGCAGAGCCAAGCAUAGGCCCUGAUCCUUUCUGCAUUUGGCCCCAAUCCUACGCAAAAGUGCAUCAGAGGAGACUUUUGGGGGAAGAGGCACACCCAGCAUCACUCAGGGCUUAGUCUUGGCUCUUCAUUCAGGGAUCCCUCCUGCUGAGCUCAGAAGACAAAAUGCGAUGCCAGGAAUCAAACCCAGAACAGAAUCUACACCAGGAACAACAUGACUGAACAUGAGAGAUGGUUGAAGCUUCAGGGCCUGGCAACUUGAGUCGUUUGGCUGGGUGAGAAUUCCUCAGGCUCAGUUCCAGCCUCGGAUUCUAUUUUCCCACCAGGGUCUUAGAUUCUAUCCUGCUCUCUCUUCACACUCCACCCUGGAGUGUCUGACAUCUUACAGUAAAGGGCUCCUUUGAGCAUUGUGUGAAACCUUCAGAAUCUUCAUCCCCCCAAAGAAUUCACAUAGAAAUUGAAUUUUUCACAAGAAUUCUGAAGGUUUGGGACUCAUGAAGCCCAUAUGUGUGU
Long non-coding RNA from Sorex fumeus (smoky shrew), 577 nucleotides. RefSeq lists it as uncharacterized. NCBI's taxonomy places the organism in Eukaryota, Metazoa, Chordata, Mammalia, Eulipotyphla, Soricidae. The transcript has 3 exons. The record is from RefSeq and is a predicted model, not a curated record.